This 74-nucleotide transfer RNA is filed under the name Spirochaetia bacterium. RNAcentral's name for it is "tRNA-Ile". It matches the Rfam family "tRNA". Rfam says of the family: Transfer RNA (tRNA) molecules are approximately 80 nucleotides in length. Their secondary structure includes four short double-helical elements and three loops (D, anti-codon, and T loops). Lineage: Bacteria; Pseudomonadati; Spirochaetota; Spirochaetia. The record is from RNAcentral.
GGAUCCGUAGCUCAGUUGGUUAGAGCAAGGGACUCAUAAUCCUUUGGUCCUUGGUUCAAGUCCAAGCGGAUCCA